AGCUCUGCAGUUGCACUAUCAUAGCCAAUGAGUUUAUCCAGGGCACAAUCAUUGCUAAUUGAGAACUAUUCCCCAUAGCUCGCCAUGACAACUUGAAAUAUGGUUGACAAUGGCAAUUUCUCUUUUUUUUUUUUGAGA
Callithrix jacchus (white-tufted-ear marmoset) is the source of this 138-nucleotide small nuclear RNA. Its record names the gene U4. It matches the Rfam family "U4 spliceosomal RNA". From Rfam's summary of the family: U4 small nuclear RNA (U4 snRNA) is a component of the major U2-dependent spliceosome. The structure of U4 snRNA from yeast and human has been reported. Lineage: Eukaryota; Metazoa; Chordata; Mammalia; Primates; Cebidae. The record is from Ensembl.